CUAAACGGACAACGAUUCAGGCCUUGCAGCAAAACAUCACGCAUGUCAUUCGACAGACCAGUCGAAAUGCUCGAACGAGUCAUCAGAAAUCAACGGAUGGACCAUCUGAGACGAAGCCGCGGCCAAAAUUUGAAAGAGAUAACUUUAAACAAGCUUUGGUACAGACAGUUCGGCACUAUGUAGGAUGGGUCGGUUGGCCGCAGAAGUUUAGAUACUGGUUAGUGUGUUUGGACUUGGUUGACGGACUCUAAUAUUAUUCUUACUUGGAUAAGCAAUACAACAAGGACAAUUUUUUUUUGCGUCCCAUCGUACCAUUUCCAUCGGGAAUGGUAAAUAAUGGCAUCUGGUGUUAUGAAUCCUAAUGGCUAAAAUUCGAUUCGGACCAUUGCCGAGAUACGAGAAAUACAAUCGAUACAGCACCGGAACUUAAGUCAAUCAAGACAACAGAAGAGCAUAUCUUGUACAGAUGCCCCAUCAAUAUCUAUUCUGACAAUGGAACUAAUUUUGUUGGAGCGUCUUAACUUAUAAUCAAAGAUCGAAAAAAGAGAGAAAAGGAAGAGAAAAUCCACGGAUGGACGCAACGCCAGAUCCUAACGGAACGGAACUAUAACGCCCACCAAAGAUUCAACACAAUCAACGCGCGAAUAUCUACCAAUAAUCAUAAAUUAUUGAUAUUAUAUAAUUGAUAUUGCAUAUAAAAUAUAUUAUCCAAAAUACUAACCAACAUAUACACAAACACCCACUCAUUUGCAAAACUAACACACACACACAUUGUAUAUUGAUUAUACCCCACAUAUACCCAAAUAAACUAAAUUGAAAUUAUAUUGCAUCUACCACGACUAAGUAACUCAGUUAUGCAUAAGAAUAUGAUGAGAAAUACUUAGAAAAUUACCGUGUUCAACCAUACACUUAUCAAUAAUAGAAAUAACUCAAAAUGUACAUUUCUUAUUUUCCACUUU
Molecule: long non-coding RNA, 959 nt
Organism: Zeugodacus cucurbitae (melon fly)
Lineage: Eukaryota; Metazoa; Arthropoda; Insecta; Diptera; Tephritidae
Exons: 4
Source: RefSeq, a predicted model, not a curated record